RNAcentral lists this ribosomal RNA (253 nucleotides) under uncultured bacterium. Its description in RNAcentral is "partial 16S ribosomal RNA". It matches the Rfam family "Bacterial small subunit ribosomal RNA", at positions 524 to 776 of the family's 1533-position model. The record is from RNAcentral.
UACGGGGGGGGCAAGCGUUGUUCGGAAUUACUGGGCGUAAAGGGCGUGUAGGCGGCCAACUAAGUCCGACGUGAAAUCCCCAGGCUUAACCUGGGAACUGCGUCUGAUACUGGAAGGCUCGAGUUUGGGAGAGGGAUGCAGAAUUCCAGGUGUAGCGGUGAAAUGCGUAGAUAUCUGGAGGAAUACCGGUGGCGAAGGCGGCAUCCUGGACCAACACUGACGCUGAGGCGCGAAAGCUAGGGGAGCAAACGGG